ACACCUCAACCCUCAUGGUUUGCCGUGACGGGCUUGGACUUUGGAGGUCUUGCGGGCUUAUGGCCGGCUCCUCUCAAAUGAAUUAGCUUACCGGUGUAUGGUGGCAUCACGGGUGUGAUAAUUAUCUGCGCUUGUGGUUGUCUGCCAGACAACCUCUGCCAUCGUCGGAGGUUUGCCGGAGGCUCACAAACGUCUCCCGAGUGGAGACAGCCUUCUGAAC
RNAcentral lists this unclassified non-coding RNA (220 nucleotides) under uncultured Tomentella. RNAcentral's name for it is "sequence contains ITS2". The record is from RNAcentral. Lineage: Eukaryota; Fungi; Basidiomycota; Agaricomycetes; Thelephorales; Thelephoraceae.